Molecule: ribosomal RNA, 132 nt
Filed under: uncultured bacterium
Lineage: Bacteria
Description: partial 16S ribosomal RNA
Rfam family: Bacterial small subunit ribosomal RNA
Source: RNAcentral
CGCAAGCCUGAUCCAGCCAUGCCGCGUGAGUGAUGAAGGCCCUAGGGUUGUAAAGCUCUUUUGUGCGGGAAGAUAAUGACGGUACCGCAAGAAUAAGCCCCGGCUAACUUCGUGCCAGCAGCCGCGGUAAUA